This 447-nucleotide ribosomal RNA is filed under the name uncultured bacterium. RNAcentral describes it as "bacterial SSU rRNA". It matches the Rfam family "Bacterial small subunit ribosomal RNA", at positions 330 to 794 of the family's 1533-position model. The record is from RNAcentral.
GCCAGACUCCUACGGGAGGCAGCAGUGGGGAAUAUUGCACAAUGGGCGAAAGCCUGAUGCAGCGACGCCGCGUGAGUGAAGAAGUAUUUCGGUAUGUAAAGCUCUAUCAGCAGGGAAGAAAAUGACGGUACCUGACUAAGAAGCCCCGGCUAACUACGUGCCAGCAGCCGCGGUAAUACGUAGGGGGCAAGCGUUAUCCGGAUUUACUGGGUGUAAAGGGAGCGUAGACGGCGAAGCAAGUCUGAAGUGAAAUCCCAUGGCUUAACCAUGGAACUGCUUUGGAAACUGUGCAGCUGGAGUGCAGGAGAGGUAAGCGGAAUUCCUAGUGUAGCGGUGAAAUGCGUAGAUAUUAGGAGGAACACCAGUGGCGAAGGCGGCUUACUGGACUGUAACUGACGUUGAGGCUCGAAAGCGUGGGGAGCAAACAGGAUUAGAUACCCCGGUAGA